This is a non-coding RNA of Trematomus bernacchii (emerald rockcod), 732 nucleotides long. NCBI's taxonomy places the organism in Eukaryota, Metazoa, Chordata, Actinopteri, Perciformes, Nototheniidae. The record is from the annotation of a RefSeq genome assembly.
AUGGUUUCUCUGCCAGAUCAGGGAGCUUUCUCAGUGGAUACAUGCUUGUUGACAGUGCAGGAGGUUUUUGUACGGCCACUUAAUGAGUUUGUAUCACUGUGGUACACUUUUGGUCGAGGAACCAAACUCAACGUUGACUUGGGUGUGCAGCAGCCCACCCUGAGCGUCCUCCCCCCCUCCAGAGAGGAGCUGCAGCAGGGCAGUGCCACCGUGGUGUGUCUGGCCAGCGGGGGCUUCCCCUCCGCCUGGAGGCUGGGCUGGAAGCUGGGGGGCAGCAGCAGCUCCUCAGGGGGGUCCCACAGCCCGGAGGUCCUGGGGAGCGACGGCCGCUACAGCUGGAGCAGCACCCUGAGCCUCUCUGCAGAGAGCUGGAGGGGGGCGGGCUCAGUGAGCUGUGAGGCCAGUCUGAGUGGACAGAGCCCUGUCACUCAAAGCCUGGACCCUGCCCGCUGCUCGGAGUAGAGCAUCACUUCCUGUCUGGAGAGGAAGCAGCUUCUUUGGUAGAGAUCUUCAUGAAGACACACAUCUCCUCUGCUCACAUGUUGCUGCUGUCUCUGUUCAGUUGUUAGUGCUGCUCUCUAAUCCUCACUUCCUGCAUAUUCUCCUGUUUGUUCAUCAGCUCACAAUUCAACUGGAUUUCAUUUGUUUCACUCCAACAGAAACUCAUCAUUCAUCUCAAAUGUGGCGUGAGCUUUAAACCAUCAUUAAAUAAAAAUGCUGAUUAAAAUGAGA